UACGUAGGGGGCAAGCGUUGUCCGGAAUUAUUGGGCGUAAAGAGCGUGUAGGCGGUCCGGUAAGUCAGCUGUGAAAGUCAAGGGCUCAACCCUUGAAUGCCGGUUGAUACUGUCGGGCUAGAGUCCGGAAGAGGCGAGUGGAAUUCCCGGUGGUAGCGGUGAAAUGCGGCAGAUAUCGGGAGGAACACCAAUGGCGAAGGCAGCU
Molecule: ribosomal RNA, 205 nt
Filed under: uncultured bacterium
Lineage: Bacteria
Description: partial 16S ribosomal RNA
Rfam family: Bacterial small subunit ribosomal RNA
Source: RNAcentral